UACGGAGGGGACUAGCGUUGUUCGGAAUUACUGGGCGUAAAGCGCACGCAGGCGGAUUUGUAAGUCAGGGGUGAAAUCCCGGGGCUCAACCCCGGAACUGCCUUUGAUACUGCGAAUCUCGAGUCCGGAAGAGGUGAGUGGAAUUCCUAGUGUAGAGGUGAAAUUCGUAGAUAUUAGGAAGAACACCAGUGGCGAAGGCGGCUCACUGGUCCGGUACUGACGCUGAGGUGCGAAAGCGUGGGGAGCAAACAGG
Molecule: ribosomal RNA, 253 nt
Filed under: uncultured bacterium
Lineage: Bacteria
Description: partial 16S ribosomal RNA
Rfam family: Bacterial small subunit ribosomal RNA
Source: RNAcentral